GACGAACGCUGGCGGCGUGCUUAACACAUGCAAGUCGAACGGAAAGGCCCUGCUUUUGUGGGGUGCUCGAGUGGCGAACGGGUGAGUAACACGUGAGUAACCUGCCCUUGACUUUGGGAUAACUUCAGGAAACUUGGGCUAAUACCGGAUAGGAGCUUCUGCUGGAUGGUGGGGGCUGGAAAGUUUCGGCGGUUGGGGAUGGACUCGCGGCUUAUCAGCUUGUUGGUGGGGUAGUGGCUUACCAAGGCUUUGACGGGUAGCCGGCCUGAGAGGGUGACCGGCCACAUUGGGACUGAGAUACGGCCCAGACUCCUACGGGAGGCAGCAGUGGGGAAUAUUGCACAAUGGGCGGAAGCCUGAUGCAGCAACGCCGCGUGCGGGAUGACGGCCUUCGGGUUGUAAACCGCUUUCGCCUGUGACGAAGCGUGAGUGACGGUAAUGGGUAAAGAAGCACCGGCUAACUACGUG
Molecule: ribosomal RNA, 468 nt
Filed under: uncultured bacterium
Lineage: Bacteria
Description: partial 16S ribosomal RNA
Rfam family: Bacterial small subunit ribosomal RNA
Source: RNAcentral